This 1146-nucleotide long non-coding RNA is filed under the name Cyanistes caeruleus (blue tit). Its description in RNAcentral is "lncRNA (ENSCCEG00000023535.1)". The record is from RNAcentral. Lineage: Eukaryota; Metazoa; Chordata; Aves; Passeriformes; Paridae.
CUUCAGUCAUGAUUAAUACCAUGAAUUUCUCAACCUGACUAAUGCAAAAAACUUCAAACCUGCAGAACAAGUGGGUGCUAAUUGUUGUGAGAGCCAUUGGAGCUGCACUCUGCUUAUAAAGAAAGAAAGCCACAGGAAAUGAAGUGUUUUCUAGCAGCACAGCUGAUCCUAAGAGGCAUCAUUAAGUGCAGCUCAGCAGCAUUCUCCAUGUGUAGGGCUAUGGUAGCCUCUUUUUUUCCACAACACUGAGCUUUAAGUACAUUUGAAAGGCAGGAGAUUGCCAGGUUAUUUUUCUUUCCCUGGGGAGGAAAAGGAGAAAUAAAACAAAAGGCAGAGAAAACAGCAGUUUAAUAUCUCAUUAACACCACUCAAUACUAAAACUUUUAUAACUGAUAGAUGAAAAAUGACGGAUCCUAGCAAAAGCUGCUCACACCAAAGCCCCUUCACAUGUCUCCCUUGAAAUCUCAUCACAUCAUAAAAGGUAGCAUCAAGAGGUUACCCACCCAUUCAAGGAGAACUUGCUUCAGAGAGGGACAGGAAAACCAGAAGAUCAGGAAGGAUUGUCAGCUGGAAACAAUGAUCCUAUACUAUAAAUCAGUCUGUGGCUGAGAUCCUGGCACUUUCAAAUCACCGGUUGAUUUGCCACAGCCUGUGGUGGAGCAGGGUGUUUGCUCCUUUUCCUGUGCUGCACUUAGAGCAGCACAGGGCACACAGGAUUCACAGUCUAGCUGUGUGUACAGUGCUGUGCUGGUCAGGAAAACGAGCCCUUCACACCUGGAGCUGGCACCAUGCGUAUUUCUGAUAGGGGCAGACACCAAAAUCCAGCAAGGACACGAGCAGUGCAGCAGCUGUGCUUCAGUCUUGGGAGAUCUUCUAGAAACACCCACAACUCAAGAGUAAAAUUCUCACAGACUGCAAAUGCACUGCCUUGUCUACUAGAGGGCCACUCAGACCAGCAGAAAGCCCUCACUGCUUCGUUUUGGAGAAGGCAGGUCAGUGUCCUCGCUCAACUCCCUUGCAAGAAAGGCUUUUGGGUUUGGGUUGGUUUGGGGUUUUUUCAGCCCUUAAUUUGCUUUAUUGCUGGUGUUGUUAAAACUUUUCAUUCCUUUUCCUGAAGUGUGCCCGGCACUUGAUGAGCAAUCUGUU